GUAAGGUUGUGAAUCUUUUUCUUUAAUAACUCCUAUUUUGGUAGCUAUAUGUUUGGCCUUCAAUGUAAAGGGAAUCCAUGUAUGGAAACUGUUUUUUCAAGAAUGAGGCUAGGUACAACUCCAAGAAUUUUACAGCUGGCUGUUUAGGAAGCCACUCUGAAAAACAGGCAUGUGAAAAAACAAAAAUGAUUCCUAUGAAAAGUGCCUGAUAAAAAUGUUUGUAGCCAGAUCAUCUUGAAGAUUAGUAGAACAGUAAUAUAAAGCACUGGAAAAUGCCUCAUAACUCAGUACCCUAAAAUAUUAUGUGAUUCCAGGGAAAGGGAAGAGGAAUUGCCGUCAUUUAUUUGGAACAUUUUAUAUAAAAAAUCAGGUUGCAAGUAGAUGUGUUAUUUUGAAGUGUUUGAUCUGGAUUUAGCAGGUGAAAAUCCUUUUCAGUUCCUAAGGUGUAAUAGGCCAUAAAGCUGGCUUACCCUGCUGCUGGAUUUUGGAAAUACUGCUUAGUUUGGAUUCCCAUAAUUGAGAGCACACAUCAUUGA
Molecule: long non-coding RNA, 536 nt
Filed under: Bos taurus (domestic cattle)
Lineage: Eukaryota; Metazoa; Chordata; Mammalia; Artiodactyla; Bovidae
Description: long non-coding RNA NONBTAT019401
Source: RNAcentral